RNAcentral lists this long non-coding RNA (14204 nucleotides) under Xyrichtys novacula (pearly razorfish). Lineage: Eukaryota; Metazoa; Chordata; Actinopteri; Labriformes; Labridae. The record is from RNAcentral.
GCUUUGGAGACACACUUUGCCCACAGAACUAUUCCAACCCAUGGUCAAUGAAAAGCCCAGCCCUACCUGUAGAACAAAGCUUUGCAGUUUGUACCCAACAGUCAUUGUCAGGGACCCAGAACUAAUAAUCAGGACUUUUAGGCUGGGUGAAUAAAAAAUUGAUGGUUGAAAAUUUAAGAAAGAGUUAUCUUGUUUGUGUUUUUACAUUUUGGAGGAGUUGACAGAUAAAGACAAGGCUUGGGGGUAUUUACAAUGACAAGGAGGUGCUUGGAGCUGGAGUUGAACCAGCGACCUUAGAAUCACAGCGUUUCAUACAAGGAGCAUCUUACAGUCCACUGCUCUACCAACUGAGCUAUCAAGGUGCUCUCUAGUCACAACAGCACAAAACAUAGUGGCUUUGGAGACACACUAUGCCCACAGAACUAUUCCAACCCAUGGUCAAUGAAAAGCCAAGCCCUACCUGUAGAACAAAGCUUUGCAGUUUGUACCCAACAGUCAUUGCCAGGGACCCAGAACUAAUAAUCAGGACUUUUAGGCUGGGUGGAUAAAAAAUUGAUGGUUGAAAAUUUAAGAAUGAGUUAACUUGUUUGUGUUUUUACAUUUUGGAGGAGUUAAUUGAUAAACACAUGGCUUGGGGGUAUUUCCAAUCACAAGGAGGUGCUUGGAGCUGGAGUUGAACCAGCAACAUUAGGAUCACAGUGUUUCACACAAGGAGCAUCUUACAGUCCACCGCUCUACCAACUGAGCUUAUCAAGGUGCUCUCUAAUCACAACAGCAGAAAACAUAGUGGCUUUGGAGACACACUAUGCCCACAGAACUAUUCCAACCCAUGGUCAAUGAAAAGCCCAGCCCUACCUGUAGAACAAAGCUUUGCAGUUUGUACCCAACAGUCAUAGCCAGGGACCCAGAACUAAUAAUCAGGACUUUUAGGCUGGGUGAAUAAAAAAUUGAUGGUUGAAAAUUUAAGAAAGAGUUAUCUUGUUUGUGUUUUUACAUUUUGGAGGAGUUGACAGAUAAAGACAAGGCUUGGGGGUAUUUCCAAUGACAAGGAGGUGCUUGGAGCUGGAGUUGAACCAGCGACCUUGGGAUCACAGCGUUUCACACAAGGAGCAUCUUACAGUCCACUGCUCUACCAACUGAGCUAUCAAGGUGCUCUCUAGUCACAACAGCAGAAAACAUAGUGGCUUUGGAGACACACUUUGCCCACAGAACUAUUCCAACCCAUGGUCAAUGAAAGGCCCAGCCCUAUCUGUAGAACAAAGCUUUGCAGUUUGUACCCAACAGUCAUAGCCAGGGACCCAGAACUAAUAAUCAGGACGUUUAGGCUGGGUGGAUAAAAAAUUGUUGGUGGAAAAUUUAAGAAAGAGUUAUCUUGUUUGUGUUUUUACAUUUUGGAGGAGUUGACAGAUAAAGACAAGGCUUGGGGGUAUUUCCAAUCACAAGGAGGUGCUUGGAGCUGGAGUUGAACCAGCGACCUUAGGAUCACAGCGUUUCACACAAGGAGCAUCUAACAGUCCACCGCUGUACCAACUGAGCUAUCAAGGUGCUCUAUAGUCACAACAGCAGAAAACAUAGUGACUUUGGAGACACACUUUGCCCACAGAACUAUUCCAACCCAUGGUCAAUGAAAAGCCCAGCCCUACCUGUAGAACAAAGCUUUGCAGUUUGUAACCAACAGUCAUUGCCAGGGACCCAGAACUAAUAAUCAGGACUUUUAGGCUGGGUGAAUAAAAAAUUGAUGGUUGAAAAUUUAAGAAAGAGUUAUCUUGUUUGUGUUUUUACAUUUUGAAAGGGGUUGACAGAUAAAGACAAGGCUUGGGGGUAUUUCCAAUGACAAGGAGGUGCUUGGAGCUGGAGUUGAACCAGCGACCUUAGGAUCAGAGCGUUUCACACAAGGAGCAUCUUACAGUCCACCGCUCUACCAACUGAGCUAUCAAGGUGCUCUAUAGUCACAACAGCAGAAAACAUAGUGGCUUUGGAGACACACUAUGCCCACAGAACUAUUCCAACCCAUGGUCAAUGAAAAGCCCAGCCCUACCUGUAGAACAAAGCUUUGCAGUUUGUACCCAACAGUCAUUGCCAGGGACCCAGAACUAAUAAUCAGGACGUUUAGGCUGGGUGGAUAAAAAAUUGUUGGUGGAAAAUUUAAGAAAGAGUUAUCUUGUUUGUGUUUUUACAUUUUGGAGGAGUUGACAGAUAAAGACAAGGCUUGGGGGUAUUUCCAAUGACAAGGAGGUGCUUGGAGCUGGAGUUGAACCAGCGACCUUGGGAUCACAGCGUUUCACACAAGGAGCAUCUUACAGUCCACCGCUCUACCAACUGAGCUAUCAAGGUGCUCUAUAGUCACAACAGCACAAAACAUAGUGGCUUUGGAGACACACUUUGCCCACAGAACUAUUCCAACCCAUGGUCAAUGAAAAGCCCAGCCCUACCUGUAGAACAAAGCUUUGCAGUUUGUACCCAACAGUCAUUGUCAGGUACCCAGAACUAAUAAUCAGGACUUUUAGGCUGGGUGAAUAAAAAAUUGAUGGUUGAAAAUUUAAGAAAGAGUUAUCUUGUUUGUGUUUUUACAUUUUGGAGGAGUUGACAGAUAAAGACAAGGCUUGGGGGUAUUUCCAAUGACAAGGAGGUGCUUGGAGCUGGAGUUGAACCAGCGACCUUAGAAUCACAGCGUUUCAUACAAGGAGCAUCUUACAGUCCACCGCUCUACCAACUGAGCUAUCAAGGUGCUCUAUAGUCACAACAGCACAAAACAUAGUGGCUUUGGAGACACACUAUGCCCACAGAACUAUUCCAACCCAUGGUCAAUGAAAAGCCAAGCCCUACCUGUAGAACAAAGCUUUGCAGUUUGUACCCAAAAGUCAUUGCCAGGGACCCAGAACUAAUAAUCAGGACUUUUAGGCUGGGUGAAUAAAAAAUUGAUGGUUGAAAAUUUAAGAAAGAGUUAUCUUGUUUGUGUUUUUAGAUUUUGGAGAAGUUAAUUGAUAAACACAUGGCUAGGGGGUAUUUCCAAUCACAAGGAGGUGCUUGGAGCUGGAGUUGAACCAGCAACAUUAGGAUCACAGUGUUUCACACAAGGAGCAUCUUACAGUCCACUGCUCUACCAACUGAGCUUAUCAAGGUGCUCUAUAGUCACAACAGCAGAAAACAUAGUGGCUUUGGAGACACACUAUGCCCACAGAACUAUUCCAACCCAUGGUCAAUGAAAAGCCCAGCCCUACCUGUAGAACAAAGCUUUGCAGUUUGUACCCAACAGUCAUAGCCAGGGACCCAGAACUAAUAAUCAGGACUUUUAGGCUGGGUGAAUAAAAAAUUGAUGGUUGAAAAUUUAAGAAAGAGUUAUCUUGUUUGUGUUUUUACAUUUUGGAGGAGUUGACAGAUAAAGACAAGGCUUGGGGGUAUUUCCAAUGACAAGGAGGUGCUUGGAGCUGGAGUUGAACCAGCGACCUUAGAAUCACAGCGUUUCAUACAAGGAGCAUCUUACAGUCCACCGCUCUACCAACUGAGCUAUCAAGGUGCUCUCUAGUCACAACAGCACAAAACAUAGUGGCUUUGGAGACACACUAUGCCCACAGAACUAUUCCAACCCAUGGUCAAUGAAAAGCCAAGCCCUACCUGUAGAACAAAGCUUUGCAGUUUGUACCCAAAAGUCAUUGCCAGGGACCCAGAACUAAUAAUCAGGACUUUUAGGCUGGGUGAAUAAAAAAUUGAUGGUUGAAAAUUUAAGAAAGAGUUAUCUUGUUUGUGUUUUUAGAUUUUGGAGAAGUUAAUUGAUAAACACAUGGCUAGGGGGUAUUUCCAAUCACAAGGAGGUGCUUGGAGCUGGAGUUGAACCAGCAACAUUAGGAUCACAGUGUUUCACACAAGGAGCAUCUUACAGUCCACUGCUCUACCAACUGAGCUUAUCAAGGUGCUCUAUAGUCACAACAGCAGAAAACAUAGUGGCUUUGGAGACACACUAUGCCCACAGAACUAUUCCAACCCAUGGUCAAUGAAAAGCCCAGCCCUACCUGUAGAACAAAGCUUUGCAGUUUGUACCCAACAGUCAUAGCCAGGGACCCAGAACUAAUAAUCAGGACUUUUAGGCUGGGUGAAUAAAAAAUUGAUGGUUGAAAAUUUAAGAAAGAGUUAUCUUGUUUGUGUUUUUACAUUUUGGAGGAGUUGACAGAUAAAGACAAGGCUUGGGGGUAUUUCCAAUGACAAGGAGGUGCUUGGAGCUGGAGUUGAACAAGCGACCUUGGGAUCACAGCGUUUCACACAAGGAGCAUCUUACAGUCCACCGCUCUACCAACUGAGCUAUCAAGGUGCUCUGUAGUCACAACAGCAGAAAACAUAGUGGCUUUGGAGACACACUUUGCCCACAGAACUAUUCCAACCCAUGGUCAAUGAAAAGCCCAGCCCUACCUGUAGAACAAAGCUUUGCAGUUUGUAACCAACAGUCAUUGCCAGGGACCCAGAACUAAUAAUCAGGACUUUUAGGCUGGGUGAAUAAAAAAUUGAUGGUUGAAAAUUUAAGAAAAAGUUAUCUUGUUUGUGUUUUUACAUUUUGAAAGGGGUUGACAGAUAAAGACAAGGCUUGGGGGUAUUUCCAAUGACAAGGAGGUGCUUGGAGCUGGAGUUGAACCAGCGACCUUGGGAUCACAGCGUUUCACACAAGGAGCAUCUUACAGUCCACCGCUCUACCAACUGAGCUAUCAAGGUGCUCUAUAGUCACAACAGCACAAAACAUAGUGGCUUUGGAGACACACUUUGCCCACAGAACUAUUCCAACCCAUGGUCAAUGAAAAGCCCAGCCCUACCUGUAGAACAAAGCUUUGCAGUUUGUACCCAACAGUCAUUGUCAGGGACCCAGAACUAAUAAUCAGGACUUUUAGGCUGGGUGAAUAAAAAAUUGAUGGUUGAAAAUUUAAGAAAGAGUUAUCUUGUUUGUGUUUUUACAUUUUGGAGGAGUUGACAGAUAAAGACAAGGCUUGGGGGUUUUUCCAAUGACAAGGAGGUGCUUGGAGCUGGAGUUGAACCAGCGACCUUAGAAUCACAGCGUUUCAUACAAGGAGCAUCUUACAGUCCACCGCUCUACCAACUGAGCUUUCAAGGUGGUCUCUAGUCACAACAGCACAAAACAUAGUGGCUUUGGAGACACACUAUGCCCACAGAACUAUUCCAACCCAUGGUCAAUGAAAAGCCCAGCCCGACCUGCAGAACAAAGCUUUGCAGUUUGUACCCAACAGUCAUUGUCAGGGACCCAGAACUAAUAAUGAGAACUUUUAAGGCUGGGUGAAAAAAAAAAAUUGUGUUUGAAAAUUUAAGAAAGAGUUAUCUUGUUUGUGUUUUUACAUUUUGGAGGAGUUGACAGAUAAAGACAAGGCUUGGGGGUAUUUCCAAUGACAAGGAGGUGCUUGGAGCUGGAGUUGAACCAGCGACCUUAGGAUCACAGCGUUUCACACAAGGAGCAUCUUACAGUCCACCGCUCUACCAACUGAGCUAUCAAGGUGCUCUCUAGUCACAACAGCAGAAAACAUAGUGGCUUUGGAGACACACUAUGCCCACAGAACUAUUCCAACCCAUGGUCAAUGAAAAGCCCAGCCCUACCUGUAGAACAAAGCUUUGCAGUUUGUACCCAACAGUCAUAGCCAGGGACCCAGAACUAAUAAUCAGGACGUUUAGGCUGGGUGGAUAAAAAAUUGUUGGUGGAAAAUUUAAGAAAGAGUUAUCUUGUUUGUGUUUUUACAUUUUGGAGGAGUUGACAGAUAAAGACAAGGCUUGGGGUAUUUCCAAUGACAAGGAGGUGCUUGGAGCUGGAGUUGAACCAGCGACCUUGGGAUCACAGCGUUUCACACAAGGAGCAUCUUACAGUCCACCGCUCUACCAACUGAGCUAUCAAGGUGCUCUAUAGUCACAACAGCACAAAACAUAGUGGCUUUGGAGACACACUUUGCCCACAGAACUAUUCCAACCCAUGGUCAAUGAAAAGCCCAGCCCUACCUGUAGAACAAAGCUUUGCAGUUUGUACCCAACAGUCAUUGUCAGGGACCCAGAACUAAUAAUCAGGACUUUUAGGCUGGGUGAAUAAAAAAUUGAUGGUUGAAAAUUUAAGAAAGAGUUAUCUUGUUUGUGUUUUUACAUUUUGGAGGAGUUGACAGAUAAAGACAAGGCUUGGGGGUAUUUCCAAUGACAAGGAGGUGCUUGGAGCUGGAGUUGAACCAGCGACCUUAGGAUCACAGCGUUUCAUACAAGGAGCAUCUUACAGUUCACUGCUCUACCAACUGAGCUAUCAAGGUGUUCUCUAGUCACAACAGCACAAAACAUAGUGGCUUUGGAGACACACUAUGCCCACAGAACUAUUCCAACCCAUGGUCAAUGAAAAGCCAAGCCCUACCUGUAGAACAAAGCUUUGCAGUUUGUACCCAACAGUCAUUGCCAGGGACCCAGAACUAAUAAUCAGGACUUUUAGGCUGGGUGGAUAAAAAAUUGAUGGUUGAAAAUUUAAGAAUGAGUUAACUUGUUUGUGUUUUUACAUUUUGGAGGAGUUAAUUGAUAAACACAUGGCUUGGGGGUAUUUCCAAUCACAAGGAGGUGCUUGGAGCUGGAGUUGAACCAGCAACAUUAGGAUCACAGUGUUUCACACAAGGAGCAUCUUACAGUCCACUGCUCUACCAACUGAGCUUAUCAAGGUGCUCUCUAAUCACAACAGCAGAAAACAUAGUGGCUUUGGAGACACACUAUGCCCACAGAACUAUUCCAACCCAUGGUCAAUGAAAAGCCCAGCCCUACCUGUAGAACAAAGCUUUGCAGUUUGUACCCAACAGUCAUAGCCAGGGACCCAGAACUAAUAAUCAGGACUUUUAGGCUGGGUGAAUAAAAAAUUGAUGGUUGAAAAUUUAAGAAAGAGUUAUCUUGUUUGUGUUUUUACAUUUUGGAGGAGUUGACAGAUAAAGACAAGGCUUGGGGGUAUUUCCAAUGACAAGGAGGUGCAUGGAGCUGGAGUUGAACCAGCGACCUUGGGAUCACAGCGUUUCACACAAGGAGCAUCUUACAGUCCACCGCUCUACCAACUGAGCUAUCAAGGUGCUCUGUAGUCACAACAGCAGAAAACAUAGUGGCUUUGGAGACACACUUUGCCCACAGAACUAUUGCAACCCAUGGUCAAUGAAAAGCCCAGCCCUACCUGUAGAACAAAGCUUUGCAGUUUGUAACCAACAGUCAUUGCCAGGGACCCAGAACUAAUAAUCAGGACUUUUAGGCUGGGUGAAUAAAAAAUUGAUGGUUGAAAAUUUAAGAAAGAGUUAUCUUGUUUGUGUUUUUACAUUUUGAAAGGGGUUGACAGAUAAAGACAAGGCUUGGGGGUAUUUCCAAUGACAAGGAGGUGCUUGGAGCUGGAGUUGAACCAGCGACCUUAGGAUCAGAGCGUUUCACACAAGGAGCAUCUUACAGUCCACUGCUCUACCAACUGAGCUAUCAAGGUGCUCUAUAGUCACAACAGCAGAAAACAUAGUGGCUUUGGAGACACACUAUGCCCACAGAACUAUUCCAACCCAUGGUCAAUGAAAAGCCCAGCCCUACCUGUAGAACAAAGCUUUGCAGUUUGUACCCAACCGUCAUUGCCAGGGACCCAGAACAAAUAAUCAGGACUUUUAGGCUGGGUGGAUAAAAAAUUGUUGGUGGAAAAUUUAAGAAAGAGUUAUCUUGUUUGUGUUUUUACAUUUUGGAGGAGUUGACAGAUAAAGACAAGGCUUGGGGGUAUUUCCAAUGACAAGGAGGUGCUUGAAGCUGGAGCUGAACCAGCGACCUUGGGAUCACAGCGUUUCACACAAAGAGCAUCUUACAGUCCACUGCUCUACCAACUGAGCUAUCAAGGUGCUCUCUAGUCACAACAGCAGAAAACAUAGUGGCUUUGGAGACACACUUUGCCCACAGAACUAUUCCAACCCAUGGUCAAUGAAAGGCCCAGCCCUACCUGUAGAACAAAGCUUUGCAGUUUGUAACCAACAGUCAUUGCCAGGGACCCAGAACUAAUAAUCAGGACUUUUAGGCUGGGUGAAUAAAAAAUUGAUGGUUGAAAAUUUAAGAAAGAGUUAUCUUGUUUGUGUUUUUACAUUUUGGAGGAGUUGACAGAUAAAGACAAGGCUUGGGGGUAUUUCCAAUGACAAGGAGGUGCUUGGAGCUGGAGUUAAACCAGCGACCUUAGAAUCACAGCGCUUCAUACAAGGAGCAUCUUACAGUCCACCGCUCUACCAACUGAGCUAUCAAGGUGCUCUAUAGUCACAACAGCAGAAAACAUAGUGGCUUUGGAGACACACUUUGCCCACAGAACUAUUCCAACCCAUGGUCAAUGAAAGGCCCAGCCCUACCUGUAGAACAAAGCUUUGCAGUUUGUACCCAACAGUCAUUGCCAGGGACCCAGAACUAAUAAUCAGGACUUUUAGGCUGGGUGAAUAAAAAAUUGAUGGUUGAAAAUUAAAGAAAGAGUUAUCUUGUUUGUGUUUUUACAUUUUGGAGGAGUUGACAGAUAAAGACAAGGCUUUGGGGUAUUUCCAAUCACAAGGAGGUGCUUGGAGCUGGAGUUGAACCAGCGACCUUGGGAUCACAGCGUUUCACACAAGGAGCAUCUUACAGUCCACUGCUCUACCAACUGAGCUUAUCAAGGUGCUCUAUAGUCACAACAGCAGAAAACAUAGUGGCUUUGGAGAAACACUAUUCCCACAGAACUAUUCCAACCCAUGGUCAAUGAAAAGCCCAGCCCUACCUGUAGAACAAAGCUUUGCAGUUUGUACCCAACAGUCAUAGCCAGGGACCCAGAACUAAUAAUCAGGACUUUUAGGCUGGGUGAAUAAAAAAUUGAUGGUUGAAAAUUUAAGAAAGAGUUAUCUUGUUUGUGUUUUUACAUUUUGGAGGAGUUGACAGAUAAAGACAAGGCUUGGGGGUAUUUCCAAUGACAAGGAGGUGCUUGGAGCUGGAGUUGAACCAGCGACCUUAGGAUCACAGCGUUUCACACAAGGAGCAUCUAACAGUCCACCGCUCUACCAACUGAGCUAUCAAGGUGGUCUCUAGUCACAACAGCACAAAACAUAGUGGCUUUGGAGACACACUAUGCCCACAGAACUAUUCCAACCCAUGGUCAAUGAAAAGCCCAGCCCGACCUGCAGAACAAAGCUUUGCAGUUUGUACCCAACAGUCAUUGUCAGGGACCCAGAACUAAUAAUGAGAACUUUUAAGGCUGGGUGAAAAAAAAAUUGUGGUUGAAAAUUUAAAGAAGAGUUAUCUUGUUUGUGUUUUUACAUUUUGGAGGAGUUGAUUGAUAAAGACAAGGCUUGGGGGUAUUUCCAAUCACAAGGAGGUGCUUGGAGCUGGAGUUGAACCAGCAACAUUAGGAUCACAGUGUUUCACACAAGGAGCAUCUUACAGUCCACUGCUCUACCAACUGAGCUUAUCAAGGUGCUCUAUAGUCACAACAGCAGAAAACAUAGUGGCUUUGGAGACACACUAUGCCCACAGAACUAUUCCAACCCAUGGUCAAUGAAAAGCCCAGCCCUACCUGUAGAACAAAGCUUUGCAGUUUGUACCCAACAGUCAUAGCCAGGGACCCAGAACUAAUAAUCAGGACGUUUAGGCUGGGUGGAUAAAAAAUUGUUGGUGGAAAAUUUAAGAAAGAGUUAUCUUGUUUGUGUUUUUACAUUUUGGAGGAGUUGACAGAUAAAGACAAGGCUUGGGGGUAUUUCCAAUGACAAGGAGGUGCUUGGAGCUGGAGUUGAACCAGCGACCUUGGGAUCACAGCGUUUCCCACAAGGAGCAUCUUACAGUCCACCUCUCUACCAACUGAGCUAUCAAGGUGCUCUCUAGUCGCAACAGCAGAAAACAUAGUGGCUUUGGAGACACACUUUGCCCACAGAACUAUUCCAACCCAUGGUCAAUGAAAAGCCCAGCCCUACCUGUAGAACAAAGCUUUGCAGUUUGUAACCAACAGUCAUUGCCAGGGACCCAGAACUAAUAAUCAGGACUUUUAGGCUGGGUGAAUAAAAAAUUGAUGGUUGAAAAUUUAAGAAAGAGUUAUCUUGUUUGUGUUUUUACAUUUUGAAAGGGGUUGACAGAUAAAGACAAGGCUUGGGGGUAUUUCCAAUGACAAGGAGGUGCUUGGAGCUGGAGUUGAACCAGCGACCUUAGGAUCAGAGCGUUUCACACAAGGAGCAUCUUACAGUCCACUGCUCUACCAACUGAGCUUAUGAAGGUGCUCUCUAGUCACAACAGCAGAAAACAUAGUGGCUUUGGAGACACACUUUGCCCACAGAACUAUUCCAACCCAUGGUCAAUGAAAAGCCCAGCCCUACCUGUAGAACAAAGCUUUGCAGUUUGUACCCAACAGUCAUUGCCAGGGACCCAGAACAAAUAAUCAGGACUUUUAGGCUGGGUGGAUAAAAAAUUGUUGGUGGAAAAUUUAAGAAAGAGUUAUCUUGUUUGUGUUUUUACAUUUUGGAGGAGUUGACAGAUAAAGACAAGGCUUGGGGGUAUUUCCAAUCACAAGGAGGUGCUUGGAGCUGGAGUUGAACCAGCGACCUUGGGAUGACAGCGUUUCACACAAGGAGCAUCUUACAGUCCACUGCUCUACCAACUGAGCUUAUCAAGGUGCUCUCUAGUCACAACAGCAGAAAACAUAGUGGCUUUGGAGACACACUUUGCCCACAAACUAUUCCAACCCAUGGUCAGUGAAAGGCCCAGCCCUACCUGUAGAACAAAGCUUUGCAGUUUGUACCCAACAGUCAUAGCCAGGGACCCAGAACUAAUAAUCAGGACGUUUAGGCUGGGUGGAUAAAAAAUUGUUGGUGGAAAAUUUAAGAAAGAGUUAUCUUGUUUGUGUUUUUACAUUUUGGAGGAGUUGACAGAUAAAGACAAGGCUUGGGGGUAUUUCCAAUCACAAGGAGGUGCUUGGAGCUGGAGUUGAACCAGCGAACUUAGGAUCACAGCGUUUCACACAAGGAGCAUCUAACAGUCCACCGCUCUACCAACUGAGCUAUCAAGGUGGUCUCUAGUCACAACAGCACAAAACAUAGUGGCUUUGGAGACACACUAUGCCCACAGAACUAUUCCAACCCAUGGUCAGUGAAAGGCCCAGCCCUACCUGUAGAACAAAGCUUUGCAGUUUGUACCCAACAGUCAUAGCCAGGGACCCAGAACUAAUAAUCAGGACGUUUAGGCUGGGUGGAUAAAAAAUUGUUGGUGGAAAAUUUAAGAAAGAGUUAUCUUGUUUGUGUUUUUACAUUUUGGAGGAGUUGACAGAUAAAGACAAGGCUUGGGGGUAUUUCCAAUCACAAGGAGGUGCUUGGAGCUGGAGUUGAACCAGCGAACUUAGGAUCACAGCGUUUCACACAAGGAGCAUCUAACAGUCCACCGCUCUACCAACUGAGCUAUCAAGGUGGUCUCUAGUCACAACAGCACAAAACAUAGUGGCUUUGGAGACACACUAUGCCCACAGAACUAUUCCAACCCAUGGUCAAUGAAAAGCCCAGCCCGACCUGCAGAACAAAGCUUUGCAGUUUGUACCCAACAGUCAUUGUCAGGGACCCAGAACUAAUAAUGAGUACUUUUAAGGCUGGGUGAAAAAAAAAUUGUGGUUGAAAAUUUAAGAAAGAGUUAUGUUGUUUGUGUUUUUACAUUUUGGAGGAGUUGACAGAUAAAGACAAGGCUUGGGGGUAUUUCCAAUGACAAGGAGGUGCUUGGAGCUGGAGUUGAACCAGCGACCUUAGGAUCACAGCGUUUCACACAAGGAGCAUCUUACAGUCCACCGCUCUACCAACUGAGCUAUCAAGGUGCUCUAUAGUCACAACAGCAGAAAACAUAGUGGCUUUGGAGACACACUAUGCCCACAGAACUAUUCCAACCCAUGGUCAAUGAAAAGCCCAGCCCUACCUGUAGAACAAAGCUUUGCAGUUUGUACCCAACAGUCAUAGCCAGGGACCCAGAACUAAUAAUCAGGACGUUUAGGCUGGGUGGAUAAAAAAUUGUUGGUGGAAAAUUUAAGAAAGAGUUAUCUUGUUUGUGUUUUUACAUUUUGGAGGAGUUGACAGAUAAAGACAAGGCUUGGGGGUAUUUCCAAUGACAAGGAGGUGCUUGGAGCUGGAGUUGAACCAGCGACCUUGGGAUCACAGCGUUUCACACAAGGAGCAUCUUACAGUCCACCGCUCUACCAACUGAGCUAUCAAGGUGCUCUAUAGUCACAACAGCACAAAACAUAGUGGCUUUGGAGACACACUUUGCCCACAGAACUAUUCCAACCCAUGGUCAAUGAAAAGCCCAGCCCUACCUGUAGAACAAAGCUUUGCAGUUUGUACCCAACAGUCAUAGCCAGGGACCCAGAACUAAUAAUCAGGACGUUUAGGCUGGGUGGAUAAAAAAUUGUUGGUGGAAAAUUUAAGAAAGAGUUAUCUUGUUUGUGUUUUUACAUUUUGGAGGAGUUGACAGAUAAAGACAAGGCUUGGGGGUAUUUCCAAUCACAAGGAGGUGCUUGGAGCUGGAGUUGAACCAGCGAACUUAGGAUCACAGCGUUUCACACAAGGAGCAUCUAACAGUCCACCGCUCUACCAACUGAGCUAUCAAGGUGGUCUCUAGUCACAACAGCACAAAACAUAGUGGCUUUGGAGACACACUAUGCCCACAGAACUAUUCCAACCCAUGGUCAGUGAAAGGCCCAGCCCUACCUGUAGAACAAAGCUUUGCAGUUUGUACCCAACAGUCAUAGCCAGGGACCCAGAACUAAUAAUCAGGACGUUUAGGCUGGGUGGAUAAAAAAUUGUUGGUGGAAAAUUUAAGAAAGAGUUAUCUUGUUUGUGUUUUUACAUUUUGGAGGAGUUGACAGAUAAAGACAAGGCUUGGGGGUAUUUCCAAUCACAAGGAGGUGCUUGGAGCUGGAGUUGAACCAGCGAACUUAGGAUCACAGCGUUUCACACAAGGAGCAUCUAACAGUCCACCGCUCUACCAACUGAGCUAUCAAGGUGGUCUCUAGUCACAACAGCACAAAACAUAGUGGCUUUGGAGACACACUAUGCCCACAGAACUAUUCCAACCCAUGGUCAAUGAAAAGCCCAGCCCGACCUGCAGAACAAAGCUUUGCAGUUUGUACCCAACAGUCAUUGUCAGGGACCCAGAACUAAUAAUGAGAACUUUUAAGGCUGGGUGAAAAAAAAAUUGUGGUUGAAAAUUUAAGAAAGAGUUAUGUUGUUUGUGUUUUUACAUUUUGGAGGAGUUGACAGAUAAAGACAAGGCUUGGGGGUAUUUCCAAUGACAAGGAGGUGCUUGGAGCUGGAGUUGAACCAGCGACCUUAGGAUCACAGCGUUUCACACAAGGAGCAUCUUACAGUCCACCGCUCUACCAACUGAGCUAUCAAGGUGCUCUAUAGUCACAACAGCAGAAAACAUAGUGGCUUUGGAGACACACUAUGCCCACAGAACUAUUCCAACCCAUGGUCAAUGAAAAGCCCAGCCCUACCUGUAGAACAAAGCUUUGCAGUUUGUACCCAACAGUCAUAGCCAGGGACCCAGAACUAAUAAUCAGGACGUUUAGGCUGGGUGGAUAAAAAAUUGCUGGUGGAAAAUUUAAGAAAGAGUUAUCUUGUUUGUGUUUUUACAUUUUGGAGGAGUUGACAGAUAAAGACAAGGCUUGGGGGUAUUUCCAAUGACAAGGAGGUGCUUGGAGCUGGAGUUGAACCAGCGACCUUGGGAUCACAGCGUUUCACACAAGGAGCAUCUUACAGUCCACCGCUCUACCAACUGAGCUAUCAAGGUGCUCUAUAGUCACAACAGCACAAAACAUAGUGGCUUUGGAGACACACUUUGCCCACAGAACUAUUCCAACCCAUGGUCAAUGAAAAGCCCAGCCCUACCUGUAGAACAAAGCUUUGCAGUUUGUACCCAACAGUCAUUGUCAGGGACCCAGAACUAAUAAUCAGGACUUUUAGGCUGGGUGAAUAAAAAAUUGAUGGUUGAAAAUUUAAGAAAGAGUUAUCUUGUUUGUGUUUUUACAUUUUGGAGGAGUUGACAGAUAAAGACAAGGCUUGGGGGUAUUUCCAAUGACAAGGAGGUGCUUGGAGCUGGAGUUGAACCAGCGACCUUAGAAUCACAGCGUUUCAUACAAGGAGCAUCUUACAGUCCACUGCUCUACCAACUGAGCUAUCAAGGUGCUCUCUAGUCACAACAGCACAAAACAUAGUGGCUUUGGA